GGAGGAUUAGCUCAGCUGGGAGAGCAUCUGCCUUACAAGCAGAGGGUCGGCGGUCACAGACUAAGUUCACUGCAUCCUGCA
RNAcentral lists this transfer RNA (81 nucleotides) under Bacillus amyloliquefaciens. RNAcentral describes it as "tRNA-Val". It matches the Rfam family "tRNA". From Rfam's summary of the family: Transfer RNA (tRNA) molecules are approximately 80 nucleotides in length. Lineage: Bacteria; Bacillati; Bacillota; Bacilli; Caryophanales; Bacillaceae. The record is from RNAcentral.